UUGAACACGAAAUACUUAUAUUAAAAUUAAAGACCCAAUGGGCUAAGUCGGUUACAACUGGAGAGAUUCUCGACGAUAAACUGAUAGACGAAAAUAACUAAAACAUGUCGAAAGAUAGAUGUGGCUAAGGAGAGAAGAGACCCAUAGAGACACUUCACUUGUAGUCCUAAAGCUCGCGUUCGAAGAAACGCACAUAGGUCGAAAUCGACGUUGAAUAGCCCAACUAAUGGGUUUUGAAAGCAAGAGUUCCGGGAAACUCCAUAGAAGAUAACAGCUCCGAUGGGAAAGUCGCAGAGAUGACUCUGUGAAGAACCGUCGAUGCUUGAGACGGCAUAAUGUGAUGGAAACGCAACAAUGACAUAGAAACGAGCAAAUCUGGCGUGUCCACACUCUUGCACAAUAGUUUCUGCGACAAGGAUAGGGAUGGGGGCACCAUAGGGCUGACUCUGUGAAGAACCGUCGAUGUUUGAGACGGCGUAGUGUGAUGGAGGCGCAGCGAUAACGUAACAACAUGAAGAACUGGCGAGUCCACACUCUUGCACAGGACCGUAGAGCUGACUAUGUGAAGAACCGUCGAUGCUUGAGACGGCAUAAUGUAAUGGAGACGCAGCAGUAACAUAGUAUCGAGAAAAUCUGGCGAAUCCACACUCUUGCACAAUAGAUCCAGCGACAAGGGAGAGAGGCGUUAUACCGUCGGUUGAAGAGCUAUGGAUCUUUUGAGCGGUCGUAGCUUUAGACGAAAACUUCACUAUGGAAGCUUCUGCAUACAACCCAAAGCCCAAAAGAUGGUCAAAGCUUUGUAGAAUCUUGUCCGAGUAUGACGGAAAGGAGGCGACAUAUAUCUUAGUGGUAUCAGUGGUACAUGUAAGACGAAGUGUGACGAUUGUACCGAUGGUUGGUGAAGCCGCAUACCGGUUCAGAGACGGUGAGAUGCAGCGGUGAAUCGCGAAUCUAUACCAAAGAGGAAACCACAAAUGUGUUGGAGAUGGUGACGAGGUGUUAAAACCGUUUCGAUGUGAGCGGUGACUCCAUAUAAGAAAGUGAGUCGGAGCUUUUAACACCGCGAGAUGAAGGGUGAGAGACUGCGGUGGCGUCGAGGUGAGAGUGUCGGAGGAGGACCGGAGUAGAUCUACGACGGAGUGGAGUUCAGAUCUGAUGGAUUCAAAUCGACAGACAGGGGAGACUUGGCGGCGAGGAGCGGAAGGGAGCGGCGGAGACAGUAGAAGAGAGACGACAGACGGUGACCCCGACAUGUACUCCGUCGACGAGAUGGGAGGCCUCGAAUGACUGAGCCCGUCGAGAGAUCUCCGAGGGUUGAAACGAGGCGGUGGUGACGCGGGCUGUCGAGAAGAACCGUACGUAUCCAUGGAAAGAACUGGAAUCAACGAGUUGCAGAAAGAGAUGCUGAAGCUUGAAACGAAAAUGGAGCAAAAGAAAAGAAGAGAAGCGGAAGCAGAGCGGCGGAGGAGUCGACGCCGACGGCAAGGGGCACCGCCGGCGUCAAGAGACAUGGCUUGUGGCGGCUUCUCGAUUCCCGUGUCUGAGAGGUUUCGUGAGCUAGUACGACCUAGCAUUAAAAAGAAUAAUU
This is a long non-coding RNA of Brassica rapa (field mustard), 1588 nucleotides long. RefSeq lists it as uncharacterized. NCBI's taxonomy places the organism in Eukaryota, Viridiplantae, Streptophyta, Magnoliopsida, Brassicales, Brassicaceae. The record is from RefSeq and is a predicted model, not a curated record.